CCUACGGGAGGCAGCAGUGGGGAAUAUUGGGCAAUGGGCGCAAGCCUGACCCAGCAACGCCGCGUGAAGGAAGAAGGCUUUCGGGUUGUAAACUUCUUUUCUCAGGGACGAAGCAAGUGACGGUACCUGAGGAAUAAGCCACGGCUAACUACGUGCCAGCAGCCGCGGUAAUACGUAGGUGGCAAGCGUUAUCCGGAUUUACUGGGUGUAAAGGGCGUGUAGGCGGGAAAGCAAGUCAGAUGUGAAAACCAUGGGCUCAACCUGUGGCUUGCAUUUGACACUGUUUUUCUUGAGUACUGGAGAGGCAGACGGAAUUCCUGGUGUAGCGGUGAAAUGCGUAGAUAUUAGGAGGAACACCAGUGGCGAAGGCGGCUUACUGGACUGUAACUGACGUUGAGGCUCGAAAGCGUGGGGAGCAAACAGGAUUAGAUACCCCGGUAGUC
This 443-nucleotide ribosomal RNA is filed under the name uncultured bacterium. RNAcentral describes it as "partial 16S ribosomal RNA". It matches the Rfam family "Bacterial small subunit ribosomal RNA", at positions 338 to 795 of the family's 1533-position model. The record is from RNAcentral.